GAUGAACGCUGGCGGCGUGCUUAACACAUGCAAGUCGAACGGUGAAGCUCCAGCUUGCUGGCGUGGAUCAGUGGCGAACGGGUGAGUAACACGUGAGCAACCUGCCCCUGACUCUGGGAUAACAGCCGGAAACGGCUGCUAAUACCGGAUAUGCACCAUGAACGCAUGUUCUGUGGUGGGAAAGAUUGUUCGGUUGGGGAUGGGCUCGCGGCCUAUCAGCUUGUUGGUGAGGUAAUGGCUCACCAAGGCGUCGACGGAUAGCCGGCCUGAGAGGGUGACCGGCCACACUGCGACUGCGACACGGCCCAGUCUCCUACGGGAGGCAGCAGUGGGGAAUAUUGCACAAUGGGCGAAAGCCUGAUGCAGCAACGCCGCGUGAGGGAUGACGGCCUUCGGGUUGUAAACCUCUUUUAGCAGGGAAGAAGCGAUAGUGACGGUACCUGCAGAAAAAGCGCCGGCUAACUACGUG
This 469-nucleotide ribosomal RNA is filed under the name uncultured bacterium. Its description in RNAcentral is "partial 16S ribosomal RNA". It matches the Rfam family "Bacterial small subunit ribosomal RNA", at positions 28 to 507 of the family's 1533-position model. The record is from RNAcentral.